RNAcentral lists this ribosomal RNA (722 nucleotides) under uncultured bacterium. RNAcentral describes it as "bacterial SSU rRNA". It matches the Rfam family "Bacterial small subunit ribosomal RNA", at positions 335 to 1064 of the family's 1533-position model. The record is from RNAcentral.
ACUCCUACGGGUGGCUGCAGUGAGGAAUAUUGGACAAUGGGUGGAAGCCUGAUCCAGCCAUCCCGCGUGCAGGAAGACGGCCCUAUGGGUUGUAAACUGCUUUUGUAUAGGGAUAAAUCAUCUUACGAGAUAGGAUGUUGAAGGUACUGUACGAAUAAGCAUCGGCUAACUCCGUGCCAGCAGCCGCGGUAAUACGGAGGAUGCGAGCGUUAUCCGGAUUCAUUGGGUUUAAAGGGUCCGUAGGCGGGCUAAUAAGUCAGUGGUGAAAUCUCACAGCUCAACUGUGAAAUUGCCAUUGAUACUGUUAGUCUUGAGUGAGUUUGAUGUUGCUGGAAUGUGUAGUGUAGCGGUGAAAUGCAUAGAUAUUACACGGAACACCGAAUGCGAAGGCAGGUAACAAAGACUUAACUGACGCUGAUGGACGAAGGCGUGGGGAGCGAACAGGAUUAGAUACCCUGGUAGUCCACGCAGUAAACGAUGCUAACUCGUUUUCGGGGUGAAGAACUUCGGAGACCAAGCGAAAGUGAUAAGUUAGCCACCUGGGGAGUACGUUCGCAAGAAUGAAACUCAAAGGAAUUGACGGGGGCCCGCACAAGCGGUGGAGCAUGUGGUUUAAUUCGAUGAUACGCGAGGAACCUUACCAAGGCUUAAAUGCAUUUUGACGUACCCUGAAAGGGGUAUUUCUUCGGACAGGAUGCAAGGUGAUGCAUGGUCAGCUCGUG